GACGAACGCUGGCGGCGUGCUUAACACAUGCAAGUCGAACGGAAAGGCCCUGCUUUUGUGGGGUGCUCGAGUGGCGAACGGGUGAGUAACACGUGAGUAACCUGCCCUUGACUUUGGGAUAACUUCAGGAAACUGGGGCUAAUACCGGAUAGGAGCUCCUGCUGCAUGGUGGGGGUUGGAAAGUUUCGGCGGUUGGGGAUGGACUCGCGGCUUAUCAGCUUGUUGGUGGGGUAGUGGCUUACCAAGGCUUUGACGGGUAGCCGGCCUGAGAGGGUGACCGGCCACAUUGGGACUGAGAUACGGCCCAGACUCCUACGGGAGGCAGCAGUGGGGAAUAUUGCUCAAUGGGCGGAAGCCUGAUGCAGCAGCGCCGCGUGCGGGAUGACGGCCUUCGGGUUGUAAACCGCUUUCGCCUGUGACGAAGCGUGAGUGACGGUAAUGGGUAAAGAAGCACCGGCUAACUACGUG
Molecule: ribosomal RNA, 468 nt
Filed under: uncultured bacterium
Lineage: Bacteria
Description: partial 16S ribosomal RNA
Rfam family: Bacterial small subunit ribosomal RNA
Source: RNAcentral